Molecule: ribosomal RNA, 676 nt
Filed under: uncultured bacterium
Lineage: Bacteria
Description: bacterial SSU rRNA
Rfam family: Bacterial small subunit ribosomal RNA
Source: RNAcentral
GAGUUUGAUCCUGGCUCAGGAUGAACGCUGGCGGCGUGCUUAACACAUGCAAGUCGAACGAAGCAUUUACGGAAGAAGUUUUCGGAUGGAAUCUGUAUCUGACUGAGUGGCGGACGGGUGAGUAACGCGUGGGUAACCUGCCCUGUACAGGGGGAUAACAGUUAGAAAUGACUGCUAACACCGCAUAAGCGCACGGAGCUGCAUGGCUCAGUGUGAAAAACUCCGGUGGUAUAUGAUGGACCCGCGUCUGAUUAGCUUGUUGGCGGGGUAACGGCCCACCAAGGCGACGAUCAGUAGCCGGCCCGAGAGGGUGGACGGCCACAUUGGGACUGAGACACGGCCCAAACUCCUACGGGAGGCAGCAGUGGGGAAUAUUGGACAAUGGGGGGAACCCUGAUCCAGCGACGCCGCGUGAGUGAAGAAGUAUCUCGGUAUGUAAAGCUCUAUCAGCAGGGAAGAAAGAAAUGACGGUACCUGACCAAGAAGCCCCGGCUAACUACGUGCCAGCAGCCGCGGUAAUACGUAGGGGGCAAGCGUUAUCCGGAUUUACCGGGUGUAAAGGGAGCGUAGACGGUAAUGCAAGUCUGGAGUGAAAUGCAGGGGCUCAACCCCUGAACUGCUUUGGAAACUGUAUGACUGGAGUGCAGGAGAGGUAAGUGGAAUUCCUAGUGUAGCG